Molecule: long non-coding RNA, 1490 nt
Organism: Oncorhynchus tshawytscha (Chinook salmon)
Lineage: Eukaryota; Metazoa; Chordata; Actinopteri; Salmoniformes; Salmonidae
Source: Ensembl
CUGUAGUAACUAGUGACGACCCCUAACAACGUGAUGCAACACAGUAGCUGCGCGUGUCCAAAAACACUAUUAAGAGAUGACUACAGGAGGAUUACGCAAUGUAGCUGGCAAGAGCUGUUCUCAAUGGAAGGUUUCUGAAAUACACUCUCUCCAAGGCGAAGUGACCGUGAAAGAUCAUAGUCAUCCAUCUCGGUGGAAACGACUUGGAACACACAAAGGAGACAGCCCUGGUGCGUCAGACGACAGCAGACUUCGAGGUAGUCAUCGGAAUGUUCCCUGGGACAAUGGUCGUCUACUUUGACAUCACACAGUGGACUAGUUAGAUGUUCCAGUGGAAGGAGGACAUCAACAAGCACAUAGAGAUGUCCCAGUGCUCCGUGACAAGCGCAUGCCCACAAUCCGCCACUUUGCCAUACAUCAGUGUGGGCAGUGUAGUAGAACAGGGUUUCCCAAAUUUGGUCCUGCCAUGUAGUCUUCUGGACUUUGUACAAACAAGCUAACGUUAGCUAGUUAUUUACCUAGCUAAUCAAAAUAUCUGUUUGCAUUGAUUAACCUCAGUUUGAAUACCACCAUAUAGCAAGCUAUAGACAGUAGUCUAGGGCUUCGUUUCAAACUCAAAGUAGACCGCCCUCGGCCCUAAACCCUCAGCCCUUGAAUGACGUUUUACAAUGUCACAUCCAAGUGUACCUUAAAUGUCCCUUACCCAAGCUAGGGAGAGUGAUGAUCGCAGAGGCAACGACCUUGGUGGAAAUCUUGAAGUUGAGCUUAAAAACAACCAACCUAAAGCUAUUAAUGUACCUAGUAAGCUAACAUAGCUAGGUAGCCCACCUGCCAUGUUGCUAGCUACAGUUACCCAUAGCUGACUAGCUAGUUUUAUAGUUUGGUAAUUUAUUCCAAUACAUUUCAGAAUUGCCAAAAAUAUGUUUAUGAAUCUAGCAAUGAGACUAAGCCAAGGAGGAGGAAAAUGCAAAAGAUAAAAGGUAUGCAGCUAUGUCAUCUCUUCAUGAGUAUAAUAUUAUGCAUGUAAUGAAAUAGGCUAGUAUAACACUUAUUUGUUAGCCUAUGUAGCUAUGUUGCUUGCUAUGCUAUUACACACAGAGCGACAAUAUUCCGUUUUCUGUCCAACUAGCUGACAUAACAUUGGAUAUAAUUUCAGUUUCAUCAUGAUAAUGUGUGCAGCCUGCAGCAAAACUAUUACAACCUAACUAGCACGUUAUUGAUUUGGUUCACUUUCAUUGAGGUGACAUCAUAAAGGUUUUCUGUGAUUGUAUUGACUAGGUCCUGAGCACAGUAAGAUGAAUUUCCAAUGCUGUAGGUUAACUUAAAAGACAUCUAUAUUAUGUUGAUAUCUUGUAUUUUGUGUGAUAUAUUGAACCUUUUGGGGUGUUUUAUGCCUAGAAUUAGCCAAGGAGGUUGUAUGAUUAAUUUGGUUCCUAUUCUGAAAGUUUGAUAAAUUGUGCAUAAUGAGAUGUAUAUUUUAAAGGUGCGAC